This 253-nucleotide ribosomal RNA is filed under the name uncultured bacterium. RNAcentral's name for it is "partial 16S ribosomal RNA". It matches the Rfam family "Bacterial small subunit ribosomal RNA", at positions 524 to 776 of the family's 1533-position model. The record is from RNAcentral.
UACAGAGGUCUCAAGCGUUGUUCGGAAUCACUGGGCGUAAAGCGUGCGUAGGCUGUUUCGUAAGUCGUGUGUGAAAGGCGCGGGCUCAACCCGCGGACGGCACAUGAUACUGCGAGACUAGAGUAAUGGAGGGGGAACCGGAAUUCUCGGUGUAGCAGUGAAAUGCGUAGAUAUCGAGAGGAACACUCGUGGCGAAGGCGGGUUCCUGGACAUUAACUGACGCUGAGGCACGAAGGCCUGGGGAGCGAAAGGG